Molecule: ribosomal RNA, 265 nt
Filed under: uncultured prokaryote
Description: partial 16S ribosomal RNA
Rfam family: Bacterial small subunit ribosomal RNA
Source: RNAcentral
UACGGAGGGUGCGAGCGUUAAUCGGAAUUACUGGGCGUAAAGCGCGCGUAGGCGGUCUGAUCAGCCGGUUGUGAAAGCCCCGGGCUCAACCUGUGAACGGCAUCCGGAACUGUCAGGCUAGAGUGCAGGAGAGGAAGGUAGAAUUCCCGGUGUAGCGGUGAAAUGCGUAGAGAUCGGGAGGAAUUCCAGUGGCGAAGGCGGCCUUCUGGACUGACACUGACGCUGAGGUGCGAAAGCGUGGGUAGCAAACAGAAUUAGAUACCCU